This is a non-coding RNA of Delphinapterus leucas (beluga whale), 552 nucleotides long. The record is from RefSeq and is a predicted model, not a curated record. Lineage: Eukaryota; Metazoa; Chordata; Mammalia; Artiodactyla; Monodontidae.
CGGCACAUGGGAUACUCCAGGACCGGAGCACGAACCCGCGUCCCCUGCAUCGAGAUGAAGGCAGCAGAAGUGGAGAAGUCACAAACAGAAGAUCAUGUCCAGCUCUUACAAAAGCCACUUUUGCAGACAGUGACGUUCAGGUGAUGUGGACUUCCCAGCCUCUCUGCUCUGUUCUCCACCUUCUGGUGGGAGUGUUAAUAAACAGUGAAAAGAUAAUCAGCCAAACCAAGGAAAGUCAAAGGCCUUGAUAAUCCAGAAAUUGCAUAAACAGUUAUAUAAAAUUAAGAAUUGUCUCUAGAUUCAAAAGUGAUGUGUUUUUAUUCCUGAUCCUGAAAGAAUGAAAAUCACAAAAGAGAGAUAUAAAUCAUCACUUGUCACUAUUUUACUUAAUAUAACAAACUGCCUUAAUUACUAAUUUGCACUGAGCUGCAUUAAUAUUGCUUCAAGUACUAACAGUUUUCCUCUGAAAUUUUAAGACACUGCUUAUAAUUAUUUUUCUGGUUCGUACAGCCUGAGCAAAUUUCAUUAAACUCUUUUUGUUUCAUGGGUUCA